RNAcentral lists this long non-coding RNA (13367 nucleotides) under Panax ginseng (ginseng). RNAcentral describes it as "long non-coding RNA (PGIN_LNC011748)". Lineage: Eukaryota; Viridiplantae; Streptophyta; Magnoliopsida; Apiales; Araliaceae. The record is from RNAcentral.
GAUAAAUUUGUUUAUCAGUGAAAGUAAUUAAACACUCCCAUCCCACAUUUUUGAUUUUUUUAAAUAUGUGAGGAAAGUUGUUAAAGGAAGUUAUUAUGCUUGGUGUGAGACUGUGUCUUAUGUGCCUAUACUUGACUUAUGCUGAGGAAGUAACUAGUUGAGGUGCAUAAGUGUCAGGAUGUAACUCAGAUAAAAGUGGGAGUUUCCUUUGUUUAGAAGAGUAAACAGGGUCCAUUUAUGACAACAAGUGAUGUAAACAGAAAGAGGAUAGAAACAGUUACCAGGUGAUGAACGAAAAUAAACCAUGUAUGCAGUAAACAUGUGGAGUUUCCAUUUAUAGAAGGAUACUGUGACAGAUAGGGCAAGAAUUAAACAAAGGGAUGUAAGCAUUUAUUUAUCUAACAUAGACAAUUCAGAUAUAAGGACCAAGGAAAAUACAUAUCUGCAGAAAACAUUGAGUAGCCAUAGUUGGUGUCUAAUUAAUUUAAUGUUUUGCAAAAAAAAUCUUUUUAUUUAAGAAAAAAUCAAGAGAGAGAUAGAGACCAGUCAUAUACAGUAAAUAUUACCAUAUAUUUUAAAAGAAUAUGUUUUGAAAAAUAGAGAGAUUAAUUCGAACAUGUCUAAUCAGUAAGAGCAACUCCAGCAGGCCGGAGUUGCCAAAUUCGUAGACUAUAUUUGUGACGCCCCCAAAAUAGGUAUACAUCACCCAUCUUGAGUCGCCAAAUACAUGGUACAAAAAAUACAAAUACAACUUAAUAAUACAACUAUCGUGUAAAAUACGACAAAACAUAAACUGAGAGUUUUAAUAAGAAUAUUGUCAUCUAGACAAUAUCCACACUCAAUCGAGUCCUCAUUACAUUUAUUGUCACACUAUUUAAUAGAAUAGUGAGGACUACUAAUGCUAUCAUCUGGACAGUCACUCCUUUCCCAGACUCGUCCCAGCUAUAUUCUCAUUUCCUGAAGAGAACAGUGAAAGAAAAGGGUAAGCUCAACUAGCCCAGUAAGAAAUAUCGUGACUAAGAUAAUGCAGAAUAAAUUAUCAUUAGUCUUCAACAAUGUUAAACUAAUAAAAUAUAAUAGACAUCAAGUUUAAUUGCAGUGGAACAAGCAAUCCAUUAGAAGAGUCAAGUAGAGAAUAAAAUCUAUUAUCUACUAUCAUUUAAAAAGUUUUCAUCAAUUUUUAUCACUGAAACUCAGCUCAACAAAUAAACCACAUCAUCGAGUCAUCCCUGCACUACGGGCCAAGGAUAUUCAUUAAAUAAUCCAUGGUCAUGACUAUACCGAAUAAUCCCUGGUCAUAAUCAUACCAAAAACUGUCCAUCAAUGCACUACAGGCUACUGAGGACUUUUACCACCUCAUUUAUAACAUUACAGGUCAUGAUUAUACCGAAUGAUCCCUGGUCAUAAUCAUACAAAGUUCAUCUAUGCACGUAAGCCAAAGAUGACUUUUAUCAUAAUAUAAGCAUGACGAUGAUGACAAUGACAUAAUAAUUCAAUAAAACAAGUUCAAGAAUAAAUUUUAAAAAUUUAUAAGUUAAUUUAUCCUGAACUCAAUAAUGUCCAAAUUAUCAACAUGAUACUUCUUUGUGGAGUAAAAAUUCAAGAAUGUUCAGAAAAAUAUUUUCAUUAAAAGAUACUAGAUGAAGCGCAAAUAUCAAAGAUAUUUCACUAAUUUUAUGGAGUAUAGAAGUCAAAGCUUUAACCAACUAAGUAUAAGAGAAUAUAUAAAACUACAAAUGGAUUUUCGGCCGCCACGCGGUACUCCACUUAGACAGAUCAUUUCCAUAAUUUAAUAAGGAGUGAAUACAAAGGUUCAUUCACCAUGCAUGUGAUAAUCCACAUAGACAGGUUAUUCCAACAGAAUGAUAAAGAAUGGAAUAACAGAAGAAAUAAUCAUGCAUGCGAUAAACCGCACAGACAGGUUAUUCCAACAUAAUAAUAAAGAAUGAAACUAGGUCAUGCGUAAACAUACUGACAGGAUAUUCCGACAGAAUAAUAAAUAAUGGAACCAGGUCCGGCGUAAACGCACAGACAGGAUAUUUCGACAGAAUAAUAAAUGAUGGAACUAGGUCCGGCGUAAACGCACAGACAGGAUAUUUCGACAGAGUAAUAAAGAACGGAAUAAUAGAAGAAUUUCACCAUGUAUACGGUACUUCGCAUAAACAGGUUAUUCCAACAUAAUAAUGAAGAAUGGAAUAACAGAAUAAUUUCACCAUGUAUGCGGUACUUUGCAUAAAUAGGUUAUUCCAACAGAAUAAUAUGGGAUGGAAUAACAAUAGCUCUCUUCAUGAAUACGAAAGAAAUAAUACCCCUUACCUCAGAAGAAACUGGAUACUGGAAUAGUGACGUAGCAGGCUUCUCUUCUUCUUUCUCUUUAUAGAUUUUCCCUCUAUAGCUUCUCUCUAUAAUUUCUCUCUAUAAUAAUUGUUCUAUAGCUUUAGUGAAUUGGAGAGAAAUGAAGGAAGAAUGAGCUUCUAUUUAUAGAAAAAUAUAGUUUUGAUAAUUGCACGUUUUGGGGCUCGAAAAAUUACAGUACAAUACCUCCAACUUUUCUUUCAUUUUUAAUUUAGUCCUGCAAGUAUUAUCAAACUUGCACCACCUCCCCUAAUAGUAAAUAAUGUGAAUCAAUAGUUCAAUUAUGUUAAUCAAUAGUUAUAAUCAUGUGAAAAUACGAAUUACGGUAUAGUACCUCCAUCUAUACUUCCAUCUUUAAUUUAAUCAUGCAAGAAUUAUCAAUCUUGCACCAAUUCCCCUAAUAGUAUAAGAAUGUGAUUCAAUAGUACACACAUGUGAACAAAUAGUUAUAUAAGCAUGUGAAUUAGUAGCAAUUAAUUGAUCAUUUAUCCGAUAAAUUCCCUGAUUUAUCAAUAUAACCCCCAGACAUCAAUUAUCAUCUGAAUAGAUGUCGAUUACCACUAACAUUAAUAAUCCCAACACAAUGGAACUAUCAAAUUCAUCUUUAAUCAAUAUGAAAUUAUUCAUCAUUAAUAUUAUAACUCAUAAUAUUUAACAACCAGGUCGUUCUCAGGAAAGAGGGGGCUUUCCAAUAAGGAUUUCUCCCUAUUGGCGCGCAAUUAGGUGACCAAACCUCUCCUUGGCAGAAGUUCUAGACAUUAUAAAUAUUACAAUUUAAUAAUAUGAAUAACUUUAUCGUCUCAAUUAUUGAUUUAAUAAUAUAUCAUAUAGUGCAGAUGAUACUGUGACAAUAAUCGAAUCAAUAAUAUGAGAGAUAUGAUGCAAUAAUUACUGUAGCAAUAAUUAAGUAUAACUGAGUGACUUCUCACGUAAGCAUCAAUAACCAAUACCGUGUGCUACUAUGCAACCACGCGUAUUACUAUACUUUUACUACCGUGUAGUUCAACAGUUUUAACGAUAACACUUUCGCCUUUAUUUUUAUAACAAGAUAAUUCUGUCAUUUUCUUACUACGACAAUACUUCCGUUGUGGGGUCCACCAAUGAUUGUGCCGUCGUAUGAAUAUUCCCUGUUAAAACGAAUAUUCCCCGACCAAUCGAAUAUUAUAUAACCACUUGAUUACUUUGCAAAAUUUGUAAAUAUUACCCACAACUAUAACAUUAUAUAAUAUUCACACCAUAAUAUUCAAAAAUAUGUUUCGAGAGAAAUUAAUCUUUAUUCAUAAAAGUUGGGGUCUUACAACCUCCCCUUCUUAUGAAAUUUCGUCCUCGAAAUUAGGGUGUGUACCUGGUAUAUCGAAGAGGUGAGGAUAUCUUGACUUCAUCUCAGAUUCUAACUCCUAGGUCAUUUCUUCCACAUCGUGAUUUCUCCACAAAACUUUGACUUGAGGUAUAACCUUGGAGCAUAGAAUAUGAUCCUUCUUUUCCAAGAUUUUAACAAGUAACUCUUCAUACGUUAAAUCUUCCUCUAUCUCGUCUGGUUCUAAUUCAAUAAUGUGAUUCGGGUCUUUCACAUAUUUACGUAACAUAGAUAUGUGGAAAACGUUAUGAACAUGAGACAUACUUGGCGGUAAGGCGAGUCUAUAGGCCACAGUUCCUACUCGUUCGAGUAUUAUAAAUGGGCCAAUGAAUCGAGGAUUGAGUUUUUCUCUCUUUCCAAAUCUUGUAACUCCUUUCCAUGGAGCAACACGUAACAACACAUGAUCUCCAAUAUUGAAUUCCACGUCCUUUCGAUAAAGAUCAGCAUAACUCUUUUGUCGAUCUUGUGAGGUUUUUAUACGUUGUCGGAUUGUUUGAAUCUUUUCCGUAGUCAUACGUACCAAAUCCGGUCCCAACAACAUUGCUUCACCCACCUCAUCCCAACAUACUGGAGAACGACACUUUCUUCCAUAUAACGCCUCAAAUGGAGCCAUGCCAAUACUUGCUUGAUAACUAUUGUUGUAGGAAAACUCCACCAAUGGUAAGAACUUAUUCCAACUUCCCUUGAAGUCAAGGACACAUAGUCUUAAUAAAUCCUCAAGAGUUUGAAUAGUCCUCUCUGAUUGUCCGUCCGUUUGAGGAUGAUACGCCGAACUAAAUCGUAAAUUCGUGCCCAUAGCUUUUUGCAAACUAACCCAAAAUCUUGAAGUGAAUCUUGGGUCUCGAUCAGAAACUAUGGAUACUGGCAUACCAUGCAGUCUUACAAUCUCGUUUAUGUAUAUACGAGCAAGACGUUCAAAUGUAUAAGUUUCUCGUAUCGGUAAGAAAUGAGCAGACUUGGUCAAUCUAUCAACAAUGACCCAAAUCGCAUCUAUGCCUUGAGAAACCUUGGGAAGACCAGUAACGAAAUCCAUGGUAAUGUGCUCCCACUUCCAUUUUCAAGUGGUUGCAAUGGACCUUUUGGCACUUGAUGCUCCGCCUUGACUCGUUGACAAGUUAGACACCUUGAGAUAAACAGCGUUAUCUCUCUCUUCAUAUUGCUCCACCUAAAUGUAUGUCGAAGAUCACGAUACAUUUUGGUACUCCUAGGAUGGAUUGCAAACGGUGUGUUGUGCGCCUCCAUCAUGAUUUUAUACUUCAAAUCAGAAUCGUUAGGAACACAAAGUCUGGAGUUGACUCGAAGUAUUCCUUCUUCAUCGAUUCUUGCUUCCGGAAUAGCACCUUCUUGUACUUUUUUUCUCAUACGUAUCAGCUCUAGGUCUGUAGCUUGAGCAGCUUUAUCUUUAUCGAUUAAAGUUGGUUCCACUCGUAUAUUCGCCAUCAUCACAUGGGUCCCUGGAGUCUUUAACUCUAUUUCCAUCCUUUCCAAGUCAUACACAAUGGGCCUUUGCAUUGACAAUAAUUCACUCGUGCCCGCAUAUGAUCUUCUACUCAAUGCGUCAGCUACUACGUUCGUUUUUCCAGGAUGGUAUUGGAUGGUAUGAUCAUAAUCUUUCAACAACUCAAGUCAUCAUCGUUGUCGCAUGUUGAGUUCCUUUUGAGUGAAGAAAAUAUUUGAGGCUUUUAUGAUCCGUAUAGAUCUCCACCUUCUUUCCAUACAGGUAAUGCCUCCAAAUCUUAAGUGCGAAGACAACAGCUGCCAACUCUAGAUCAUGAGUAGGAUAAUUCUUCUUAUAUUCUUUGUCGUGAGGCAUAAGGUAUGACUUUCCCAUGUUUCAUGAGAACACAUCCUAACCCUUUACCUGAAACAUCACUGUAAAUGACAAAUCCCUCUGUGCUAGAUGGUAUUGUCAGAACAGGUACUGAAAUGAGUCUCCUCUUGAGUUCUUAAAAACUCUUCUCACAUUCCUCGCUCCAACUGAAUUUUGUAUCUUUUCGAGUCAGCUGCAUUAAUAGAGUAGCAAUUCAAGAAAACCCUUCUACGAAUCUCUGAUAAUAACCAGCUAAGCCGAGAAAGCUACGUACUUCAGUUACUUCAAUUACUGACUUAGGUUGCUCCCAACUUUGAAUUGCUUCAAUCUUUGCCAGGUCAACAAAUAUUCCAUGAUUUGAUAAUACGUGCCCAAGGAAUGCUACUUCCUCAAGCCAGAACUCGCAUUUCUUCAACUUGGCAUAUACCUUGUUUUCACGAAGCUUUUUAAGUAUCAGCCUCAAGUGUUGCUCAUGGUCUUCACGGGUUUUGGAAUAAAUGAGGAUGUCAUCAAUAAAGACGACCACAAAGUGAUCCAAAUAUUCCUUGAAUACUCGGUUCAUCAUAUCCAUGAAGGCAGCAGGAGCAUUAGUCAAUCCAAAAGACAUGACUAUGAAUUUAUAAUGCCCAUACCGAGUUCUGAAAGCAGUCUUUGGAAUGUCAUCAGUUUUAAUCUUCAACUGAUGAUAUUCAGAACGAAGAUCAAUAUUUGAAAAGAAUUUGGCGCCUUGCAACUGGUCAAACAGAUCAUCAAUACGAGGUAACGGGUACCUAUUUUUUAUGGUGAUAUAAUUCAACUCCCGAUAAUCAAUACAAAGUCGCAUACUUCCAUCUUUCUUCUUCACGAAUAGGACAGGAGCACCCCAAGGAGACGUACUAGGACGAAUGAAACCGAUGUCUAACAAUUCCUGUAGUUAGGUUUUUAACUCCUGAAGUUCAAUAGGAGUCAUUCGAUAUGGGGCUUUGAAAAUGGGUUUUGUACCGGUUUCAAGAUCGAUACAAAAUUCAAUUUCACGCUCUGGGGGUAGGCCAGGAAGUUCUUCAGGGAAUACGUCAGGAAAUUUAUUAACAAUAGAAAUAUCAUUCAAAUCUGACGUAUUUUUAUUUAAAUCCGUGACAUGGGCUAAGAAAGCUUGACAUCCGUUUUUCAAUAAACGAAUAGCUUUAUGGCUUGAUAUGACAGUGAUUGAUUUUAGUGGUUUGGCUGCUUGAAUUCGUAUAAUAGGUUGGUUAGGAAUAUGAAAGCUAACAACCUUACGAAAACAAUCGAUUUUAGCAUGAUGAAUAGUUAACCAAUCAAUCCCUAAAAUCACAUCAAAUGCAAGUAUUUUCAAAGAAAUAAGAUUGACAGAUAACGUGCGGUUACCGAUUUGAAUCAAACAAGACUUAUAAACAGUGGAUGUAAUGAAGGUUUCUCCCAACGGAGUUUCAACUGAUAAGUCAAGGUCUAAUUUCUCCGGAGUCAAAUUUAAACGUUGAGCGCAAGUAGGAGAAAUGAAAAAAUAGGUAGAACUAGUAUCAAAUAAAGUAUAAAUUUCGCUAGACUUUAUGAUUAACUUACCUGUGAUCACCUCGUUCGGAUUCCUCACUUUUUGGGAGGUCACGACAAACGCUCUUCCUUGAACUACCGAUUUUGUCUUGUCUGGGACCCCCUUUGAUGCCUCCAUCCCAGCUGGACUUGACUUUGGUACACGGCAAAAUCGGGCUAGGUAGCCUUCUUUUCCACAAUUAUAACAUGCUUUGGACUACAUCGUGCAGUUUGGACUUAUGUGUCCUUCCCCUCCACAUUUGUAACAUACGACCGGCGGUCGUUCUUCUUCCUUAACAGCGAGUGCUGGUGCUGACGUCUUUCAAUCUUUGCUGAACCUUCUCUUCUUGAACUUUCCACUCCUAUUGUCAUGGCAAUGAUUACCACCGAAGUGGUUAUCACUUCUGGCAAGUUGAUUCCCUCUGCGUUAUUCAUUGAAUCAUCCAUGGUCAUAACUAUACCGAAUAAUACCUGGUCAUAAUCAUACCAAAAAUUGUCCGUCAAUGCACUACAGGCUACUAAGGACUUUUACCACCUCAUUUAUAACAUUACAGGUCAUGAUUAUACCGAAUGAUCUCUAGUCAUAAUCAUACAAAGUCCAUCUAUGCACUUAAGCCAAAGAUAACUUUUAUCACAAUAUAAGCAUGAGGAUGAUGACAAUGACAUAAUAAUUCAAUAAAACAAGUUCAAGAAUAAAUUUUAAAGAUUUAUAAGUUAAUUUAGCAUGAACUCAAUAAUAUUCAAAUUGUCAACAUGAUACUUUUUUGUGGAGUAAAAAUUCAAGAAUGUUCAGAAGAAUAUUUUCAUUAAAAGAUACUGAAUGAAGUGCAAAUAUCAAAGAUAUUCCACUAAUUUCAUGGAGUAUAGAAGUUAAAGCUUUAACCAACUAAGUAUAAGAGAAUAUAUGAAACUACAAAUGGAUUUUCGGCCGCCACGCGGUACUCCACUUAGACUGAUCAUUUUCAUAAUUUAAUAAGGAAUGAAUACAAAGGUUCAUUCACCAUGCAUGUGAUAAUCCACAUAGACAGGUUAUUCCAACAGAAUGAUAAAUAAUGGAAUAACAGAAGAAAUCAUUAUGCAUGCGAUAGACCGCACAGACAGGUUAUUCCGACAGAAUAAUAAAUAAUGGAACCAGGUCCGGCGUAAACGCACAGACAGGAUAUUCCGACAGAAUAAUAAAUGAUGGAACCAGGUCCGGCGUAAACGCACAGACAGGAUAUUCCGACAGAAUAAUAAAUGAUGGAACCAGGUCCGGCGUAAACGCACAGACAGGAUAUUCCGACAGAGUAAUAAAGAACGGAAUAAUAUAAAAAUUUCACCAUGUAUACGGUACUUCGUAUAAACAGGUUAUUACAACAUAAUAAUAAAUAAUGGAAUAACAGAAGAAUUUCAUCAGAUUAUUCAAUAAGGAUUUCUACCUAUUGGCGCGCAAUUAGGUGACCAACCUCUCCUUGGCAGAACUUCUAGACAUUAUAAAUAUUAUAAUUUAAUAAUAUGAAUAACUUUGUCGUCUCAAUUAUUGAUUUAAUAAUAUAUCAUAUAAUGCAGAUGAUACUGUGACAAUAAUCGAAUCAAUAAUAUGAGAGAUAUGAUGCAACAAUUACUGUAGCAAUAAUUGAAUAUAACUGAGUGACUUCUCAUGUAAGCAUCAAUAACCAAUACCGUGUGCUACUAUAUAACCACGCGUAUAACUGUACUUUUACUACCGGAUAGUUCAACAGUUUUAACAGUAACACUUUCGCCGUUAUUUUUAUAACACGAUAAUUCUAUCGUUUUCUUACUACGAUAAUACUUCCGUUGUGGAGUCCACCAAUGAUUGUGCCGUCGUACGAAUAUUCCCUGUUAAAACGAAUAUUCUCCGACCAAUCGAAUAUUAUAUAACCACUUGCUUACUUUGUAAAAUUUAUAAAUAUUACCCAAAACUAUAACAUUAUAUCAUAUCCACACCAUAAUAUUCAAAAAUAUAUUUUGAGAGAAAUUAAUUUUUAUUCAUAAAAGUUGGGGUCUUACAAUAUUUAGUCUAGGACGCCAAAAUCGCUCCAGCAGAUGGACUAUAUUUAGUCGAUCAACUUUUUCGGCCGCUCAAAACGACCAAAUCUGCGAACGAAAAAUCAGCCAGACUAUAAUUUAAUAUAAUUAAAUGGAAAACUCUCUGUUAAAGAAAUUGAAGAAAAAAAAUAAGAAAAACUCUGUUGAAGAAGAUCUGUCGAAGAAGAAGGAGAUGAAGUGAGAGAACUGAAAGUGAAGUGAAGAAGAGAUGAACGGUAAUAAAGUACAAUCCAACGGAUAGAAAAAAAAAAUUCAGAACGGUAAUAAAGAGUACAAACGGAUAGAAAUUGAAAGCCUAAUUGGAAAUCUAUAAAUAUGUAUAAUAAUUCAAUUUAUUUUAUAUCUUUCAAUCAACUACUCCAACAUUUAGCAAUUGUAAGUAUUUUAUUAAUAAUAGUUUAUAUUUUUAUUAUAUUUGAUUUUUGUUUUUUAUUGAUAAUAUCUCUUUAAUUUAUUUUUUAGAUAAAAAAUUAUGAUCCUCCGAUGUAUUAUUCUUCAUUAUUAUCUGAAGGUUUCUCACUUGAUGAUCCAAAUUUGUUGGAUGAAUUUUCAAUUCAAAUUGAUGUACCAAUUCAGACUCCCAAAAAUGAGUCCAAUAAAAGAACAGGGCAAAAGAGAAAUUACACAAUUGAAGAAGAUGCUCUUCUUGUUUUCGAAUGGCUUAAUGUAAGUAUGGAUCCAAUUCAAGGAAACGAUCAAAAACAUGAAAGAUAUUGGGAAAGAGUUCACAAAUACAAAAAUUUUGAAUCUAAACGUAAUUCUACUGCUUUGGCGAAACGUUGGUCAACAAUUCAACUCGUGGUGAACAAAUUUUAUGGAUAUUAUGCUUCAAUUGAAAGAAUGCAACAAAGCGGUGUAAGCGAACAAGAUAAGGUAUUUCAAUUUUUUCAUAUAAAAUUUCAUUAAGUUUUAUUCUUAUAUUUUAUAUUUAAUACUUUGUAAAUAAUUUUUCAAUAGAUAUGUCAAGCAUUAGAGAUGUUCAAAAGUAUGCAAAAUCAACCAUUUGAAUUUAUGCAUUGUUGGAGAAUAUUAAAAGAUGCACCGAAAUAGAGAACAGAUAAUAGUAGAAAAAAAUAGAAAAAUAAUAGAAAGUCAAGUCCAACAGCAUCUUCUCCAUCAACUACAGAAGAAGUCAGUUUGGGUAAAGACGAUGGUAUUGAAGAUACAAUCUCUGCAAGAUUAGAGAGACCAAUAGGAAAAAAGGCUUCAAAAGCAUUAUUUAAAAAGGGCAAAGAAAUCGGUGAUACUAGUACACCUAUGGAGUUGAUGUUUGAGAAGUUCGAGCAUCAGAUUAAAUUGAACCAACAAAAGAGACAAGAGAACAUGGACAGAAUAUAUUUUCAAGAGCAAGAGAAGUUGAAUAUACUAAAAGCACAAGAAAAUGAAAGGAUCAUGAUGAUUGACACUGCUAACAUGGAGCUUAAAGUAGCUAAAUAUUACAAACAACGUAAGAAAGAAAUCAUGAAAAGAGUUACAUCUAAUAAUUGACUGGCUUAUUAUUGUAGUAGAAUAUAAUAGAGCCUGAAGUAGCUUAAUUUCCUUAUUAUUGUAGUAGAAUGUAAUGGAUUAGGCUCGGCCAUGUAGUGACCACAAGUGUUGAAUAAUAUCUUCUUGCAGUUUAGAAUGAACUUGUUUAUCCCUUAUGAAAGUAAUUGUGGGGUACGCUCAUGAGACACUUCUACAGUUGAAAUCUCGUCAUGUGUAUCGUAGGUUGUUGGUUCUUGAUUUUCAUCUCGUUCAUCUUCAACUAUCAUAUUAUGUAAUAUUAUGCAUACAGUCAUAAUUUCUUUUAGUGUUGUUUAAUCCCAAAAUCGUGCAGGACCACGAACUAUCACAAAACGUGCUUGCAGUACCCCAAAUGCUCGCUCAACAUCCUUUCUAAGCGCCUCUUGAGUCUUAGCAAAUAGUUUUCUUUUAUUUCCCUAAAGUGCCAAAAUGAUUUUAACAAAUAUUGUCCAUGGGGAAUAUAUACCAUCAACAAGAUAAUAUCCCAUCGUGUACUCAUUUUCAUUAAUUGAGUAGCUCACUGGUGGAGCACGACCUUCAGUAAGAGCAGAAAAGAUAGAUGAUCUCUCCAAAACGUUAAUAUCAUUAUGAGAGCUUGGUAAUCCAAAAAAUGCAUGUCAUAUCCAAAGAUCGUAUGAAACCACCGCUUCUAAAAUAAUUGUUGGCUCGUGCACAUAUCCAAAAUACAUAUCAUGCCAUGCAACUAGACAAUUCUUCCAUUUCUAAUGCAUACAAUCGAUGCUCCCCAACAUCCUAAGAAAACCACGCUCUUCAACUUUUGAUAGCAAUCUAACGAUGUCAUUACUAUUGGGUAAUCUCAAAUAUUCAUCACCAAAAAUUGAAAUGAAUGCUUUUACAAACCUUUUAAGACUCAAUAUAGCCAUGCUUUCACUGAUUCGCACAUAAUCAACGGAAUCCGCUGAAACACCAUAGGCAAACAUCCGUAUUGAGACAGUUAUCUUUUGUAGAGAAGAUAAACCGAGAUGUCCUGCAGCAUUCAUUUUUAGUACGAAAUAUGAAUUAUACGCUUCAACUGCUCUUUGAAUUCAGAAGAAAAACAGACACCACAUUCUAAACCUUCUCCAAAAUAGAUACCGAGGAGGGGGGUAUGUAGAAUUUUCUACAAAAUAAUCACAAAAAAAUCGAUUAUGACCUUCAUGUCUACCACGAUCAAUGAUAAUACAACCUUACACAGAACCACGAUGACGUAAUGUAUACCUAUUGACAUUUUUUUUUUCUUCUACAAUAACCAACAUGCCUAAUAAUUGUCCAUAUACUUUUUCAUCUUCUUCUUCAUCCACGUGCAACAUAACUAAUUCAAAUUAACAAGACAUUUAAAAUAACUUAUUUGACUGAAAAAAUAAAAUUAAAAUGAAUAAAUAUGAAAGAUUAGAUGCGACAUAUAUUUUAUAAAUACUAUUUAUUUAUUAAAAUAUAACCAUUAUAAUAUGACCGUUAAAAUAUGACCAUUAAAAUAUAGUCGUUGAAUUAUGCCCGUCAAAAUUUUUUUGAAUUAAUUGAUUAUUUUAAUUAUUUUAUAUUAUAAUCGACGAGAUAAUCCACAAGAUAGUCCAUCUGUUAAAAAAGAGCGAAGACUAAAAAACAUUUGCUAAUAUCAGAUAGACUAAAUAUAGUCCAGCAGAUCUAUCUAUUGGAGAUGCUCUAAACAGAAAUAGAUCAUAACUACAGUGAAGUUUAUCGGAUAUGCUUAGAUAUGGAGUAUGCAAGAAUUUAUGACAUCUAAUGUACUCAGAAAAAGGAUUUAACUAGCACAACUUUGCAGAAUUGUAACCCAACUCAGCGGCUUUAUCAUAAAAGUUUUGACAAAAAAAUAACCCACAACAGUUUAAAAUGAUAAUUGAGAAGAAAUAAAUGUCUAGCAUAGGAAGUUUUGAACUAUCAGCUCCAGCCAAAAACCAAAUAUAACUCAACACAUACAAGCAGUGAGUAAUCAAUCUUACUCAUGACAAAAAAUGAGAAGUGAUUUCAGCCAGUCCCAACACAAUAAACAAAGUAUACCAUUUAUGGACAGAAUAGAUGAGAUAGAGAAUAUACCUGAAAGAACAAUAUACAUUUAAAUAUACAUACAGAUUUUAAACAAUGUAUAGAUAUGCAUGUACAAAUACUUUAAUUACUUAAAAUACAUUCGUGUUUAAAAAAAACUGUAGAUAAGAAAUUUGUUGUUUUUGAAAGAAAUUUUAAUAUACUCUAAAAAAAUUACAAAUCUAGUCACGAAAAUUAGGAUUUAAACAGUUGUCACAAUCGUUGUUAAAAAAAUGAUUUGUUAGAUUAGAACUCAGAUCUUGAGCACUAAAUCUAACUAAAUUUGUUUAUCUGAAAACUCAUUUAAUCAAAAUGAACAACGAAACUUAACAGAUGAGAACGUUAAGAGUUUUCAGAUCUACAAACUUAGGGUUUUCCCCUUUUUAAAAAAAAAAUUGACACAAAUUAACACCAAAUACUGGUUUUUGAAAAAUAGAUUUUGAGAUAUAAAACUAUCCAUACUUAUUAAAAAAAAAAUCAGAGAAAGCCAACGGACAAAAAUGAACUGCAGAGAAAAACAAAAAGUAGAAUCAAACAAAUAAUUAGUAGAAGUAUGAUUUUGAGGGUGAUGAAUCGAUUGAUAGGAGCAGAUUAAUCGAAAUUGAAAUAAAAAUCAAGGACUUUUUACAGAGAACAGGGUUAGGGUUGAGAGAAUUUUGGGGAGAGAGAAAUGAGAUCCGGAAGAUAACAGAGAAGAGGAAGAGAAAUGAAAUUAAAAAU